RNAcentral lists this ribosomal RNA (876 nucleotides) under uncultured archaeon. Its description in RNAcentral is "bacterial SSU rRNA". It matches the Rfam family "Archaeal small subunit ribosomal RNA", at positions 22 to 903 of the family's 1478-position model. The record is from RNAcentral.
GGCUACCGCUAUUGGAGUUCGAUUAAGCCAUGCGAGUCGAGAGUCUUAGGGACUCGGCGCACCGCUCAGUAACACGUGGGUAACCUGCCCUAUGCUGGGGAAUAACCUCGGGAAACUGAGAAUAAUGCCCCAUAGCCCACUACGCCUGGAACGGUGAGUGGGUCAAAGCUCCGGCGGCAUAGGAUGGGCCUGCGCCGUAUCAGGUUGUAGGGGGUGUAAAGUACCCUCUAGCCAUCAACGCGUACGGGUGUUGGGAGACAUUGCCCGGAGAUGGAUUCUGAGACACGAAUCCAGACCCUACGGGGUGCAGCAGGCGCGAAAACUUGGCAAUGCGAGCAAUCGUGACCAGGGAACUCCAAGUGCGUAGGGUAAGACCUACGCUUUUCUUGACUCUUCAAAGGUCUUGGAAUAAGGGGUGGGUAAGGACGGUGCCAGCCGCCGCGGUAAUACCGGCGCCUCAAGUGGUAGUCGCUUUUAUUGGGCCUAAAACGUCCGUAGCCGGUCUGGUGCAUUCGUGGGUAAAUCAACCCGCUCAACGGGUUGAAUUCUGCGAGCACGGCCAGACUUGGGACCGGGAGAGGUGUGGGGUACUCUCAGGGUAGGGGUAAAAUCCUGUCAUCCUGAGAGGACCACCUGUUGCGAAGGCGCCACACUAGAACGGAUCCGACGGUCAGGGACGAAACCUAGGGGCACGAACCGGAUUAGAUACCCGGGUAGUCCUAGGUGUAAACGCUGUGGACUCGAUGUUGGGGGCGCUCCGAGCGCUUUCAGUGUCGAAGCGAAGGUGAUAAGUCCACUGCCUGGGGAGUACGGUCGCAAGGCUGAAGCUUAAAGGAAUUGGCGGGGGAGCACUGCAACCUGAGGAUUGUGCGGUUU